AAGCGAAGGCAAUCUUCUGGAACAUUACUGACGCUGAGGCGCGAAAGCGUGGGGAGCAAACAGGAUUAGAUACCCUGGUAGUCCACGCCCUAAACGAUGAAUGUUAGUCGUCGGGUAGCUAGUCUAUUCGGUGAUGCAGCUAACGCAUUAAACAUUCCGCCUGGGGAGUACGGUCGCAAGAUUAAAACUCAAAGGAAUAGACGGGGACCCGCACAAGUGGUGGAGCAUGUGGUUUAAUUCGAAGAUACGCGAAGAACCUUACCUAGCCUUGACAUAUUAAAGAACACCCUAGAGAUAGAGUGGUGCCUUCGGGAGCUUUUUUACAGGUGCUGCACGGCUGUCGUCAGCUCGUGUCGUGAGAUGUUGGGUUAAGUCCCGCAACGAGCGCAACCCUCACUUUUAGUUGCCAUCAUUAAGUUGGGCACUCUGAAAGAACUGCCAGUGAUAAGCUGGAGGAAGGUGGGGAUGACGUCAAGUCCUCAUGGCCCUUACGUGUUGGGCUACACACGUGCUACAAUGGCAUCUACAACAGGAAGCAAAACGGCAACGUUAAGCAAAUCCCGAAAAGAUGCCUCAGUUCGGAUUGCACUCUGCAACUCGAGUGCAUGAAGCUGGAAUUACUAGUAAUCGUGGAUCAGCGUGCCACGGUGAAUGCGUUCCCGGGUCUUGUACACACCACCCGUCACACCAUGGGAGUUGGUUCUACCUUAAGGCAAGGUUUUAAACCCUUGACCACGGUAUAGUCAGCGACUGGGGUGAAGUCGUAACAAGGUAGCCGUA
Molecule: ribosomal RNA, 780 nt
Filed under: uncultured bacterium
Lineage: Bacteria
Description: bacterial SSU rRNA
Rfam family: Bacterial small subunit ribosomal RNA
Source: RNAcentral